Molecule: ribosomal RNA, 1487 nt
Filed under: uncultured bacterium
Lineage: Bacteria
Description: bacterial SSU rRNA
Rfam family: Bacterial small subunit ribosomal RNA
Source: RNAcentral
AGAGUUUGAUUCUGGCUCAGGACGAACGCUGGCGGCGUGCUUAACACAUGCAAGUCGAACGGAAAGGCCCUGCUUUUGUGGGGUGCUCGAGUGGCGAACGGGCGAGUAACACGUGAGUAACCUGCCCUUGACUUUGGGAUAACUUCAGGAAACUGGGGCUAAUACCGGAUAGGAGCUCCUGCUGCAUGGUGGGGGUUGGAAAGUUUCGGCGGUUGGGGAUGGACUCGCGGCUUAUCAGCUUGUUGGUGGGGUAGUGGCUUACCAAGGCUUUGACGGGUAGCCGGCCUGAGAGGGUGACCGGCCACAUUGGGACUGAGAUACGGCCCAGACUCCUACGGGAGGCAGCAGUGGGGAAUAUUGCACAAUGGGCGGAAGCCUGAUGCAGCAACGCCGCGUGCGGGAUGACGGCCUUCGGGUUGUAAACCGCUUUCGCCUGUGACGAAGCGUGAGUGACGGUAAUGGGUAAAGAAGCACCGGCUAACUACGUGCCAGCAGCCGCGGUGAUACGUAGGGUGCGAGCGUUGUCCGGAUUUAUUGGGCGUAAAGGGCUCGUAGGUGGUUGAUCGCGUCGGAAGUGUAAUCUUGGGGCUUAACCCUGAGCGUGCUUUCGAUACGGGUUGACUUGAGGAAGGUAGGGGAGAAUGGAAUUCCUGGUGGAGCGGUGGAAUGCGCAGAUAUCAGGAGGAACACCAGUGGCGAAGGCGGUUCUCUGGGCCUUUCCUGACGCUGAGGAGCGAAAGCGUGGGGGAGCGAACAGGCUUAGAUACCCUGGUAGUCCACGCUGUAAACGGUGGGUACUAGGUGUGGGGUCCAUUCCACGGGUUCCGUGCCGUAGCUAACGCUUUAAGUACCCCGCCUGGGGAGUACGGCCGCAAGGCUAAAACUCAAAGGAAUUGACGGGGCCCCGCACAAGCGGCGGAGCAUGCGGAUUAAUUCGAUGCAACGCGUAGAACCUUACCUGGGUUUGACAUGGAUCGGGAGUGCUCAGAGAUGGGUGUGCCUCUUUUGGGGUCGGUUCACAGGUGGUGCAUGGCUGUCGCCAGCUCGUGUCGUGAGAUGUUGGGUUAAGUCCCGCAACGAGCGUAACCCUUGUUCACUGUUGCCAGCACGUUAUGGUGGGGACUCAGUGGAGACCGCCGGGGUCAACUCGGAGGAAGGUGGGGAUGACGUCAAGUCAUCAUGCCCCUUAUGUCCAGGGCUUCACGCAUGCUACAAUGGCUGGUACAGAGAGUGGCGAGCCUGUGAGGGUGAGCGAAUCUCGGAAAGCCGGUCUCAGUUCGGAUUGGGGUCUGCAACUCGACCUCAUGAAGUCGGAGUCGCUAGUAAUCGCAGAUCAGCAACGCUGCGGUGAAUACGUUCCCGGGGCUUGUACACACCGCCCGUCAAGUCAUGAAAGUUGGUAACACCCGAAGCCGGUGGCCUAACCGUUGUGGGGGAGCCGUCGAAGGUGGGACUGGUGAUUAGGACUAAGUCGUAACAAGGUAUCC